CCGCGAACUUCUAAACCUUUGACGAUUGACUCAUGUUGCCUCGGCGGGUUCUCCCGCCAGAGGAUAGAUCAAAACUCCUGUUUUAACGGUGUUGUCUGAGCUACAAGCAACGAAUCAAAACUUUCAACAACGGACCUCUUGGUUCUGGCAUCGAUGAAGAACGCAGCGAAAUGCGAUAAGUAGUGUGAAUUGCAGAAUUCAGUGAAUCAUCGAAUCUUUGAACGCACAUUGCGCCCCUUGGUAUCCCGAGGGGCAUGCCUGUUCGAGCGUCAUUUCACCACUCAAGCCUGGCUUGGUGUUGGGCGACGUCCCCUUUGGGGACGCGCCUCGAAACGCUCGGCGGCGUGGCACCGGCUUUAAGCGUAGCAGAAUCUUUCGCUUUGGAAGUCGGGGCCCCGUCUGCCGGAAGACCUACUCGCAAGGUUGACCUCGGAUCAGGCAGGGAUACCCGCUGAACUUAAGCAUAUCAAUAAGCGGAGGAA
Molecule: ribosomal RNA, 482 nt
Filed under: uncultured Cenococcum
Lineage: Eukaryota; Fungi; Ascomycota; Dothideomycetes; Gloniales; Gloniaceae
Description: eukaryotic LSU rRNA
Rfam family: 5.8S ribosomal RNA (bases 119-272)
Source: RNAcentral